CCUACGGGGGGCUGCAGUAGGGAAUCUUCCGCAAUGGACGAAAGUCUGACGGAGCAACGCCGCGUGAGCGAAGAAGGUCUUCGGAUCGUAAAGCUCUGUUGUUAGGGAAGAACAAGUACGGGAGGAAAUGACCGUACCUUGACGGUACCUAACGAGGAAGCCACGGCUAACUACGUGCCAGCAGCCGCGGUAAUACGUAGGUGGCAAGCGUUGUCCGGAAUUAUUGGGCGUAAAGCGCGCGCAGGCGGUCUUUUAAGUCUGAUGUGAAAUCUUGCGGCUCAACCGCAAGCGGUCAUUGGAAACUGGGAGACGUGGUGUGGGAAGAGGAAGGGUGAAUUCAACUGGUGGGGUUGAAAGGCGGAGAGUGUGGGAGGAACACCAGUGGAGAGGGGGGGUUUCUGGUCGGUACCUGGCGCUGGGGCGCAAAAGCGGGGGGAUCAAACGGGAUUAGAUACCCUUGUAGUC
Molecule: ribosomal RNA, 465 nt
Filed under: uncultured bacterium
Lineage: Bacteria
Description: bacterial SSU rRNA
Rfam family: Bacterial small subunit ribosomal RNA
Source: RNAcentral